GAAGUCCUACGGGGGGCAGCAGUGGGGAAUAUUGCACAAUGGGCGAAAGCCUGAUGCAGCGACGCCGCGUGAAGGAUGAAGUAUUUCGGUAUGCAAACUUCUAUCAGCAGGGAAGAAAAUGACGGUACCUGACUAAGAAGCCCCGGCUAACUACGUGCCAGCAGCCGCGGUAAUACGUAGGGGGCAAGCGUUAUCCGGAUUUACUGGGUGUAAAGGGAGCGUAGACGGCGAUGCAAGCCAGAUGUGAAAGCCCGGGGCUCAACCCCGGGACUGCAUUUGGUACUGUGGGGCUGGAGGUGCG
Molecule: ribosomal RNA, 301 nt
Filed under: uncultured bacterium
Lineage: Bacteria
Description: bacterial SSU rRNA
Rfam family: Bacterial small subunit ribosomal RNA
Source: RNAcentral